This 576-nucleotide non-coding RNA is filed under the name unclassified sequences. Its description in RNAcentral is "ROOL RNA". It matches the Rfam family "ROOL RNA". From Rfam's summary of the family: Firmicutes, Fusobacteria (1 example), Tenericutes (1 example). Environment (Cow rumen (57)) The record is from Rfam by way of RNAcentral.
GACAUUUUGUUUAGCAAUUAUGAACCAAGUGAAGAUGUGCUAACCACACAGCUUGGGAUACUUGAAUAACAGCCAUACACUACGGCCCGGGAUACUAGGCAAGUGCGGCCGCGAAACUAGUAAUAGUUAGCGAUAGCGGAGAAACUCCAAAUGUUAAGAGUAUGCGCUAAGUAAUUCGGUUGAAAAUGUACGAUUCCUUACGGCGACGCAAUAGGAAGCCAGGUUAAGAGCCAGGCCAAAUCCAAGAAAGUGUAUUGGGGUGGUAGCCAAUAAAUACCUUGGAAAAACCACAAGUCGCUAUGUCGAUGAAAGCCAGAAAUGGCAUAUAAGUAAGGUUUGCGGUUGGAGUAGCCCAAGACAAGAAAUUGGAUUAAAUAGAAAUAUUGAAAUUUGAUUUCUGCUGAAUGGUUUGGGUGAAACUUAGAGGUAAGCAUUCCUCUCUAUUCUCGGUGCUUGGCACGGGAAUCGGAUGGUAUAAGGUCGCUACUUAUGCCACAGCCCGAUUUUCAAUAGUAACAUAAUAUUCAACAAGAAUUAUGAGGUACGGCGAAGGUCGCAGUAAUUGUUAAACAAAGU